GGGAAUGUGGCUUAGUGGUAGAGUGCUUGCCUAGCAUGCAUGAAGCCCUGGGUUCAAUACCUCAGUACCA
Molecule: transfer RNA, 70 nt
Filed under: Dipodomys ordii (Ord's kangaroo rat)
Lineage: Eukaryota; Metazoa; Chordata; Mammalia; Rodentia; Heteromyidae
Rfam family: tRNA
About the family: Transfer RNA (tRNA) molecules are approximately 80 nucleotides in length.
Source: Rfam by way of RNAcentral